This 551-nucleotide ribosomal RNA is filed under the name Arthrobacter sp. RNAcentral describes it as "bacterial SSU rRNA". It matches the Rfam family "Bacterial small subunit ribosomal RNA", at positions 83 to 648 of the family's 1533-position model. Lineage: Bacteria; Bacillati; Actinomycetota; Actinomycetes; Micrococcales; Micrococcaceae. The record is from RNAcentral.
CUGGGGGGAUUAGUGGCGAACGGGUGAGUAACACGUGAGUAACCUGCCCUUAACUCUGGGAUAAGCCUGGGAAACUGGGUCUAAUACCGGAUAUGACUCCUCAUCGCAUGGUGGGGGGUGGAAAGCUUUUGUGGUUUUGGAUGGACUCGCGGCCUAUCAGCUUGUUGGUGAGGUAAUGGCUCACCAAGGCGACGACGGGUAGCCGGCCUGAGAGGGUGACCGGCCACACUGGGACUGAGACACGGCCCAGACUCCUACGGGAGGCAGCAGUGGGGAAUAUUGCACAAUGGGCGCAAGCCUGAUGCAGCGACGCCGCGUGAGGGAUGACGGCCUUCGGGUUGUAAACCUCUUUCAGUAGGGAAGAAGCGAAAGUGACGGUACCUGCAGAAGAAGCGCCGGCUAACUACGUGCCAGCAGCCGCGGUAAUACGUAGGGCGCAAGCGUUAUCCGGAAUUAUUGGGCGUAAAGAGCUCGUAGGCGGUUUGUCGCGUCUGCCGUGAAAGUCCGGGGCUCAACUCCGGAUCUGCGGUGGGUACGGGCAGACUAGAGUG